AUUGAACGCUGGCGGCAUGCCUUACACAUGCAAGUCGAACGGCAGCACGGGAGCAAUCCUGGUGGCGAGUGGCGAACGGGUGAGUAAUAUAUCGGAACGUGCCCAGUCGUGGGGGAUAACGCAGCGAAAGCUGUGCUAAUACCGCAUACGAUCUAAGGAUGAAAGCGGGGGAUCGCAAGACCUCGCGCGAUUGGAGCGGCCGAUAUCAGAUUAGCUAGUUGGUGGGGUAAAGGCCCACCAAGGCGACGAUCUGCAGCUGGUCUGAGAGGACGACCAGCCACACUGGAACUGAGACACGGUCCAGACUCCUACGGGAGGCAGCAGUGGGGAAUUUUGGACAAUGGGCGAAAGCCUGAUCCAGCAAUGCCGCGUGCAGGAUGAAGGCCUUCGGGUUGUAAACUGCUUUUGUACGGAACGAAACGGCCCUUUCUAAUACAGGGGGCUAAUGACGGUACCGUAAGAAUAAGCACCGGCUAACUACGUGCCAGCAGCCGCCUAA
Molecule: ribosomal RNA, 499 nt
Filed under: uncultured bacterium
Lineage: Bacteria
Description: partial 16S ribosomal RNA
Rfam family: Bacterial small subunit ribosomal RNA
Source: RNAcentral